Molecule: long non-coding RNA, 1317 nt
Filed under: Sorghum bicolor (sorghum)
Lineage: Eukaryota; Viridiplantae; Streptophyta; Magnoliopsida; Poales; Poaceae
Description: long non-coding RNA (SBIC_LNC010759)
Source: RNAcentral
ACUCCCCCAAGCUUACACUUUGCUCGUCCCUGAGCAAACAGCUAAACUCAGACGGAUCAGGAGUUGCUUCGAUGUUUUCUUUCCUGACAGGCACACAUGCUUUUACAUAAAAUUCUUCUAGAUUAGAGUGAAGUGUUAUGGAGUUUAGAACCUGCACUUAAGUCUUAAGUAAUCGAAAGACAAAAUAGUUAAGUCAAGCACUAUCCCUCCUGUCUAUACUUCACCUUUGUUCUAGAGUUUUUUAUAAGUUUUCAAAAUAAAACUCAGAGUUCCCAGCAAUGAUUGUCUCAAGUCUCUCUAUAUGUGGUAUUUGUGGAUCCUUACCAUAAUGUCACUUACCUAUAGCUAAUGGGAUAUUUAUGUGGAGCUCAUAGAAGUGAAAAACAGCUCAUACAUAUAUUGUCUAAUCGAGCCAUGGAUCCAAAGGAACUCAGCAUAUAAUUAAAUCAAGAUGUGCAUGUGUGGUGGAGUAAAUGAUAGUGAUGGUGAAAAUGUAUAAGUGUUAAUAAAACUUAGUUCUCAUUGCUCCUCAUAUUGCUAUCUCUCCUCUUCUUUGAUCUUUGCUUUUGGAAAACAUGGGCUAUCUUUUCUUUCUUUUUUCUCUUUUUUUUCAGGUAGGUAGUAGAUACCCCUAAUUCUACUGUCGGACACUUGUCCAUUUUUUCCGCUCAAGUGGGCAUCUUUGUACCCCUAAUACUACUUCAGACACUUGUCCAUUUUUACCUCUCGUCUCACUCUUUAUCGAGGUUCCGGGCACUUGCCCCUUUUUAUUUCCUCGCAUAUUUUUGCAUAACCCAUGCCUCUUCUGCGUUGAAUCUUUUUAGAGAGAGAGAAUAACAAUAUUCGGGACAGUGAGUGAAAAUAUUUUUAGCAAUUUUAAUGAUUGAUGAUGGAUGCUGUGGUAGAUGUGUGCAAGUGAAUAUCUUAAUUUAACCACAUGAAAAGCUCCUAAGGGUCUACACAGCUCGAUCAAACUCAAUGUGAAUAUAGUAAAAGAUGUUAUAGCAAGUAUGGCUGUGGUAGGUAGUUUUGUAUGCUAGGAACUCAUCAUGUGAUUUGUAAGUUUUCAAAAUAAAUCUCCAGAACUUAGUGUAGUAGAAACAGGAUAAACAGUAGCUCAACUUUAUAUCAUGCCUUUCUCUUACCUAGACUUUAGUUUUAUGCUUCCCAAAGAUAGUAAUUUUAGUUUUAGUAAUUCCUGGAAGAAUUCUAAUAUAAAAGCUAGGUACUUGUAAGUAAGCAACAGAGCAAUUGUUCAUCAUUUCCAUCAUGCAUCUUUUUGGUCUUUAUAUUUUUUUUCUAGAGAUUAAACUUAGC